This 254-nucleotide ribosomal RNA is filed under the name uncultured bacterium. RNAcentral describes it as "partial 16S ribosomal RNA". It matches the Rfam family "Bacterial small subunit ribosomal RNA", at positions 524 to 776 of the family's 1533-position model. The record is from RNAcentral.
UACGAAGGGGGCUAGCGGUGUUCGGAAUCACUGGGCGUAAAGCGCACGUAGGCGGGUCGUUAAGUCGGGGGUGAAAUCCCGAGGCUCAACCUCGGAACUGCCUUCGAUACUGGCGAUCUUCGAGUCCGGGAGAGGUGAGUGGAACUCCGAGUGUAGAGGUGAAAUUCGUAGAUAUUCGGAAGAACACCAGUGGCGAAGGCGGCUCACUGGCCCGGUACUGACGCUGAGGUGCGAAAGCGUGGGGAGCAAACAGG